AUGGACUCUAAGAAGGUGCUUACUGAUGCUAGUCUAACCGAUGACCUAGUGGUGAAAAUCCUUUCUCGGGUGCCUUUCAAGUCCUUUUGCCGCUUCAAAUGUGUUUGCAAGGCCUGGCUUGCCUUCUCCUCGGACCCACACUACCGCCAUAAACUGCCAAAAAUUCCCACCGGUCUUUUUCAUGGAUGCAAAGGUGGGUCUGUUGCCCAGCUUGUUAGUCUGUCACGAAAUGAUGAGGAAAUUGAUGGAGGUCUUACGUUCUUGCCGCACCGUGAACAUUUAAAAUUUGUGGAUUGCUGCAAUGGCCUAGUUCUUUGUAAGUAUAAGAGCAACUGUAUUCCUCCAAAUAUUUGCCGCUUCAUCGUGUGCAACCCUGCAACACGAGAGUGGAGGACGCUUCCUGAUACUCACCCUGACCCUUACACAAUGGAUUACACAUAUAAAGCUUUUUUGGCCUUCGAUCCAUCAUGGUCAGCACAGUUCUAUGUCUUCAACUUUCAGGAGAAGUUUGACGAAAUGCCAAUUGGCAUCAACAAACUUGAGGUGUUCUCGUCUGACCUAUCCACUUGGAUUGUGGAUGCUGCAUGGAGUUCGCGUAUACAGAUUUUUGAACCACACCACUUUAUAGGAGGAGUACUAUGUGUGCACACAGCAGGGGGUGACAUUUUAGUGUUGGAGGCAAUGGGUUCUGGCAUACCGCCCCGUCAUUUUAUCAUCGAGUUGCCGGAUGUCCAUUGGAGUCUCAUGUGUGGUUGCUUUGGUCAAUCAUCAGGGUUAUUGCAGUGUGCAUUUCCAGGGGAGAGCAGUGAUACAGCUGAAGUUUUCAGUCUUGAUGCUCACCAUUCUUAUGAGUGGUCUUUGAAGCGUCGUGUUAGUCUGAGAGAUGCACUUGGAAGGGAUGUCUUCUUUCACAAUGAUGAAUGGCCGCGUCGGCUUGGUUAUCGGAUUGCCGCUCUUGAUUUGGAAAGAGGGGUCAUCAUCCUUGUUGACAAGGAACAAAUGAAGCUUUUGUCAUACAACAUCAACACUGGGAAACUUAGAAAGAUCCAGGAUGAUUGCCGUACUACUACUGACUACCGUUAUUAUGUGGCAUGCUACUCAAAACUUCCAGGCUGA
This 1116-nucleotide ribosomal RNA is filed under the name Triticum aestivum (bread wheat). RNAcentral's name for it is "partial small subunit ribosomal RNA". Lineage: Eukaryota; Viridiplantae; Streptophyta; Magnoliopsida; Poales; Poaceae. The record is from RNAcentral.